AACGAACGCUGGCGGCGUGCUUAACACAUGCAAGUCGAACGGUAAGGCCCUUCGGGUACACGAGUGGCGAACGGGUGAGUAACACGUGAACAACCUGCCCUUGACUCUGGGAUAACAGUUGGAAACAGCUGCUAAUACCGGAUACGAGCCUGCAAGACAUCUUGCGGGCUUGAAAGCUCCGGCGGUCAAGGAUGGAUUCGCGGCCUAUCAGCUUGUUGGUGAGGUAACGGCUCACCAAGGCUUCGACGGGUAGCCGGCCUGAGAGGGCGACCGGCCACACUGGGACUGAGAUACGGCCCAGACUCCUACGGGAGGCAGCAGUGGGGAAUUUUGGACAAUGGGGGCAACCCUGAUCCAGCCAUGCCGCGUGCGGGAGGAGGCC
This 382-nucleotide ribosomal RNA is filed under the name uncultured bacterium. RNAcentral's name for it is "bacterial SSU rRNA". It matches the Rfam family "Bacterial small subunit ribosomal RNA", at positions 29 to 415 of the family's 1533-position model. The record is from RNAcentral.